GCAUAGACGCUGUGCGGCAGCGCUUAACACAUGCAUGUCGAGCGGGGAAGGGUAGCUUGCUACCUGACCUAGCGGCGGACGGGUGAGUAAUGCUUAGGAAUCUGCCUAUUAGUGGGGGACAACAUUCCGAAAGGAAUGCUAAUACCGCAUACGCCCUACGGGGGAAAGCAGGGGAUCUUCGGACCUUGCGCUAAUAGAUGAGCCUAAGUCAGAUUAGCUAGUUGGUGGGGUAAAGGCCUACCAAGGCGACGAUCUGUAGCGGGUCUGAGAGGAUGAUCCGCCACACUGGGACUGAGACACGGCCCAGACUCCUACGGGAGGCAGCAGUGGGGAAUAUUGGACAAUGGGCGCACGCCUGAUCCAGCCAUGCCGCGUGUGUGAAGAAGGCCUUUUGAUUGUAAAGCACUUUAAGCGAGGAGGAGGCUACUUGGAUUAAUACUCUAGGAUAGUGGACGUUACUCGCAGAAUAUGCACCGGCUAACUCUGUGCCAGCAGCCGCGGUAAUACAGAGGGUGCGAGCGUUAAUCGCAUUUACUGGGCGUAAAGCGUGCGUGGGCGGCUUCUUAGUCGGAUGUGGAUCCCUGAGCUUACUAGGAUUGC
Molecule: ribosomal RNA, 600 nt
Filed under: Acinetobacter sp. SS97
Lineage: Bacteria; Pseudomonadati; Pseudomonadota; Gammaproteobacteria; Moraxellales; Moraxellaceae
Description: bacterial SSU rRNA
Rfam family: Bacterial small subunit ribosomal RNA
Source: RNAcentral